UUUAUCUUUCAUCCUGAAGACCCACAGUGCCUUAUCUACUGUGUCAACAGACCUCGGCCUGGACUGCCGUGACGCCUUUGGGGUGCGGGCGCGCCGCAGCCAGCCAGGACGGAGCCUGGAGGCGCAAGAGGAAGGAGGAUACCGCCAUAGGGCACCUGGGGGUCAAAUGAGAAGCACUGCUGUGAAAAACGUCAGUGGCUGGCUGUCCAUAAAAGGCUAUAAAUUAGCCCUUUACAAUUUUGGAAAUUCA
Molecule: long non-coding RNA, 250 nt
Filed under: Struthio camelus australis
Lineage: Eukaryota; Metazoa; Chordata; Aves; Struthioniformes; Struthionidae
Description: lncRNA (ENSSCUG00000006392.1)
Source: RNAcentral